GUGUAGCAAUACACCAGCGGCAGACGGGUGAGUAACGCGUGGGAACAUACCUUUUGGUUCGGAACAACCCAGGGAAACUUGGGCUAAUACCGGAUAAGCCCUUACGGGGAAAGAUUUAUCGCCGAAAGAUUGGCCCGCGUCUGAUUAGCUAGUUGGUGAGGUAAUGGCUCACCAAGGCGACGAUCAGUAGCUGGUCUGAGAGGAUGAUCAGCCACAUUGGGACUGAGACACGGCCCAAACUCCUACGGGAGGCAGCAGUGGGGAAUAUUGGACAAUGGGCGCAAGCCUGAUCCAGCCAUGCCGCGUGAGUGAUGAAGGCCCUAGGGUUGUAAAGCUCUUUUGUGCGGGAAGAUAAUGACGGUACCGCAAGAAUAAGCCCCGGCUAACUUCGUGCCAGCAGCCGCGGUAAUACGAAGGGGGCUAGCGUUGCUCGGAAUCACUGGGCGUAAAGGGUGCGUAGGCGGGUCUUUAAGUCAGGGGUGAAAUCCUGGAGCUCAACUCCAGAACUGCCUUUGAUACUGAAGAUCUUGAGUUCGGGAGAGGUGAGUGGAACUGCGAGUGUAGAGGUGAAAUUCGUAGAUAUUCGCAAGAACACCAGUGGCGAAGGCGGCUCACUGGCCCGAUACUGACGCUGAGC
This 637-nucleotide ribosomal RNA is filed under the name Bradyrhizobium sp. RNAcentral describes it as "bacterial SSU rRNA". It matches the Rfam family "Bacterial small subunit ribosomal RNA", at positions 74 to 752 of the family's 1533-position model. The record is from RNAcentral. Lineage: Bacteria; Pseudomonadati; Pseudomonadota; Alphaproteobacteria; Hyphomicrobiales; Nitrobacteraceae.